Molecule: long non-coding RNA, 290 nt
Filed under: Bos taurus (domestic cattle)
Lineage: Eukaryota; Metazoa; Chordata; Mammalia; Artiodactyla; Bovidae
Description: long non-coding RNA NONBTAT024908
Source: RNAcentral
AAAAAGAAGCAAGAAUAGUCUUUAUUGCUCAGAAACACAAUUGGAAAAAGGUAUCAAUAAAAUAAAAAGAUUCAGAACACAAUUACUUGCAUGCAGCACAAACACUGAGGAUCAAAAGGUCUGCUAAAGGAAACACGCGUAAACAAGGGCCUCGGGAGAGUUUACAGAUGAUGGGCUUGACCAGGCCGCGCCUGCAGUUGAUUCUCUCCUUCUGGAUAGACUUUCGUGGUAACCCCUCCAAAAAAGGUCAGAUUUCGGCAAUAAACUAUCUCAAAGGAUGGCAACACAUC